Molecule: ribosomal RNA, 424 nt
Filed under: Verrucomicrobiota bacterium
Lineage: Bacteria; Pseudomonadati; Verrucomicrobiota
Description: Verrucomicrobia bacterium partial 16S ribosomal RNA
Rfam family: Bacterial small subunit ribosomal RNA
Source: RNAcentral
UGAGGAAUAUUGGUCAAUGGACGAGAGUCUGAACCAGCCAAGUAGCGUGCAGGAUGACGGCCCUAUGGGUUGUAAACUGCUUUUGUUUGGGAAUAAUCGACAUUACGUGUAAUGUUUUGCAUGUACCAUUCGAAUAAGGACCGGCUAAUUCCGUGCCAGCAGCCGCGGUAAUACGGAAGGUUCGGGCGUUAUCCGGAUUUAUUGGGUUUAAAGGGAGCGUAGGCCGUUUGGUAAGCGUGUUGUGAAAUGUAGGAGCUCAACUUCUAGAUUGCAGCGCGAACUGUCAGACUUGAGUGCGCAGAACGUAGGCGGAAUUCAUGGUGUAGCGGUGAAAUGCUUAGAUAUCAUGAAGAACUCCGAUUGCGAAGGCAGCUUACGGGAGCGAAACUGACGCUGAAGCUCGAAGGUGCGGGUAUCGAACAGG